Molecule: ribosomal RNA, 414 nt
Filed under: uncultured bacterium
Lineage: Bacteria
Description: bacterial SSU rRNA
Rfam family: Bacterial small subunit ribosomal RNA
Source: RNAcentral
UGGGGAAUCUUGGACAAUGGGGGCAACCCUGAUCCAGCCAUGCCGCGUGAGCGAUGAAGGCCUUAGGGUUGUAAAGCUCUUUCAGCGGGGAAGAUAAUGACGGUACCCGCAGAAGAAGCCCCGGCCAACUACGUGCCAGCAGCCGCGGUAAUACGUAGGGGGCGAGCGUUGUCCGGAAUUAUUGGGCGUAAAGCGUGCGCAGGCGGUUUUGUAAGUCUGUCGUGAAAUCCCCGGGCUCAACCUGGGAAUUGCGAUGGAGACUGCAAGGCUAGAAUCUGGCAGAGGGGGUAGAAUUCCACGUGUAGCAGUGAAAUGCGUAGAGAUGUGGAGGAACACCGAUGGCGAAGGCAGCCCCCUGGGUCAAGAUUGACGCUCAUGCACGAAAGCGUGGGGAGCAAACAGGAUUAGAUACCC